RNAcentral lists this ribosomal RNA (603 nucleotides) under Triticum aestivum (bread wheat). Its description in RNAcentral is "partial small subunit ribosomal RNA". The record is from RNAcentral. Lineage: Eukaryota; Viridiplantae; Streptophyta; Magnoliopsida; Poales; Poaceae.
AUGUACGGAGGGGAGGCCAGCCGGAUGAAGGAUAUCUCAGAUAGCAGAGGGAAGGAGACAGGAGAAGAUGUGCCGUGGGCGGCAGCGUCGACGAGGGGGGAAGCCAGCAGCAGCUUCUUCGGAGGAAGGCGCUCGGCCGGGAUACCGAGGCAGAGGGAAGUACGCGCCUCUAGGGGCGGCAUGCUCACCGGUCGACACAAACGUCCCCUUGUGUGUCCGGCGAGUGCGCCGGCACCAGCGCUGCAUCACCAGCAUCGUUGGAUUGAGCGUGUGUCAAGGAUGCAACAUGCAUGGAGUUCCAUCUCUCAGGUUAGCAUAAUACUAAAUACAUACAUCUAUUUCUCUUGUGUACCAGGUGAGGAAACACAUGAACGUACAAGACUCCUGGAGCAGUACAUGGAUGAGUUGCCGCAGCUCCUCCUUCGUGCCUCGUCUGGGCAGCAGAUGUGCUGGCCCUGGACACGGAGGAUGGAACAUGCACAGGAGGGAGGCACAGGAGGAGAAGAGGGCUACGUACGGGAGAAGGAGACGUGCCCGUCGCGGCAGCGUCCAAAGAACUCACAAACACACCCAGGCGUGGCCGGCGACGUUUGUACCCGAUAA